AAGGAAUAUUGGUCAAUGGACGAAAGUCUGAACCAGCCAUCCCGCGUGCAGGAUGAAGGUCCUAUGGAUUGUAAACUGCUUUUAGCAGAGAAGAAAAGCAUUCAUUUAUGAGUGUCUGACGGUAUCUGCGGAAUAAGCACCGGCUAACUCCGUGCCAGCAGCCGCGGUAAUACGGAGGGUGCAAGCGUUAUCCGGAAUCACUGGGUUUAAAGGGUGCGUAGGCGGAAUAUUAAGUCAGUGGUGAAAGCCUGUCGCUUAACGAUAGAACUGCCAUUGAUACUGAUAUUCUUGAAUUGGGUUGAGGUUAGCGGAAUGUGACAUGUAGCGGUGAAAUGCAUAGAUAUGUCAUGGAACACCAAUUGCGAAGGCAGCUAGCUGGGCCUUGAGUGACGCUGAGGCACGAAAGCGUGGGUAGCGAAC
RNAcentral lists this ribosomal RNA (420 nucleotides) under uncultured bacterium. Its description in RNAcentral is "bacterial SSU rRNA". It matches the Rfam family "Bacterial small subunit ribosomal RNA", at positions 356 to 773 of the family's 1533-position model. The record is from RNAcentral.